GGUGGAGCUCAGUGGUAGAACACUUGUCUAGCAUGCACAAGGCCCUGGGUUUGAUCCCCAGCACUG
Molecule: transfer RNA, 66 nt
Filed under: Marmota monax (woodchuck)
Lineage: Eukaryota; Metazoa; Chordata; Mammalia; Rodentia; Sciuridae
Description: tRNA.Ala
Source: RNAcentral